CAGAUCUAGAUUAGAGGAUAGGAGUUCCACAUCAAUGAUUCGAGCAUUAGAUAUGAUCCAGUAUCUCUAAACUACUUAUAUAUAAAAAAUAUAUAAUUUGAAGAAUCCUAGCUUAUGUAUCAAGUAUCGAAAAUUUGGACAAUUUAAAUAACAUGAAACAAUGCAUGCUUUUGUAACUAUUUGAUGCACAAUCCAGACGUCUCUAAAUUAUAUGAUUUUUGGUGUGUUUAGAAGUAGUAGAUCAUAUCCAAGGGCUCAAAUCAUCAAUAUUCCAUCAUCCAAUCUAGAUCCGACCAGAGUUAAGUGGAGAUCUAUUGGAGUGUAGCAUCAAGCUCUCAAUACAUUUCUAUUAUAGUCAAUGAAGAAAGGGAUAAGGGUCAUUGUGCCAAUUUUUAAGUUAACGCUCUCAUCUUUUCCCCACCACCCUACU
RNAcentral lists this long non-coding RNA (430 nucleotides) under Phoenix dactylifera (date palm). RNAcentral describes it as "long non-coding RNA (PDAC_LNC003878)". Lineage: Eukaryota; Viridiplantae; Streptophyta; Magnoliopsida; Arecales; Arecaceae. The record is from RNAcentral.